UAUGAAUAGUGCAAAUGGCUCAGCUAUGAUCACAUUCUUGUUUUGCUCAGCAUGCACCGAGAGCAGUGUGGGCUGAUGGAGUGCAAACGAGCCCAGACCGUCUCUGCAAGCUACAAUCCGGCAGAUCGGAGACAGCAUCACGUCUGUCUGCAAAGCUGGGGAAAUCUUUAGCUUGCCUGGUUUUGGAAGGAAAAAGGCCCCCCUUUUAAAAAAACAAACAAACAUCAAAACCCUAAACUGAAGGCACAACAAAAACGAGCAGAGAAGAAAACUAGGGGUGCUGGAUAACUUUUUUUUCUGAAGGAAUUGUGAUGGCCAUAGGAUUUGGAGGCUAACCAGAAUAGCCGAGAGGGCUCUGUCGGGCAAGCCGGGAACAACUGACAGCUCGGAGACAUUCUGAAAGGCAGAGACCAGGAAUCAGGCAAAUGUUGCCCCUGUCUUCAAAAAGGAGGAUCUAAGAAACUACAGACUUGUCAGCCUGACUUUGAUACCAGCUUCUUUAGUGCAAGCAGAGAAGCUCCACGCAGCUCCGUGCUCACUGUGCGCGGGCACCCCAGAUGGGACUUUCCCUUGCAAGCUCUCAGACUCCUUAUGGGGACUGCAACCUAAGACCACCGUGGCCAAGACCCUGGCUUGCGAAGAUGGUCUCUUAUCAAGUGUCGUGUAAAGACUCGUGCUUCUGAUCCAGCCCCAAAGACAUUAGGGGAAGGGGUGAGACACCCCCCCCCCACUU
Long non-coding RNA from Gekko japonicus, 733 nucleotides. RefSeq lists it as uncharacterized. NCBI's taxonomy places the organism in Eukaryota, Metazoa, Chordata, Lepidosauria, Squamata, Gekkonidae. The transcript has 3 exons. The record is from RefSeq and is a predicted model, not a curated record.